This 2797-nucleotide ribosomal RNA is filed under the name Klebsiella pneumoniae. RNAcentral describes it as "bacterial LSU rRNA". It matches the Rfam family "Bacterial large subunit ribosomal RNA". Lineage: Bacteria; Pseudomonadati; Pseudomonadota; Gammaproteobacteria; Enterobacterales; Enterobacteriaceae. The record is from RNAcentral.
CGGCGAUGUCCGAAUGGGGAAACCCAGUGCAAUUCGUUGCACUAUCGUUAACUGAAUACAUAGGUUAACGAGGCGAACCGGGGGAACUGAAACAUCUAAGUACCCCGAGGAAAAGAAAUCAACCGAGAUUCCCCCAGUAGCGGCGAGCGAACGGGGAGCAGCCCAGAGUCUGAAUCAGCUUGUGUGUUAGUGGAACGGUCUGGAAAGUCCGACGGUACAGGGUGAUAGUCCCGUACACCAAAAUGCACAGGCUGUGAACUCGAAGAGUAGGGCGGGACACGUGGUAUCCUGUCUGAAUAUGGGGGGACCAUCCUCCAAGGCUAAAUACUCCUGACUGACCGAUAGUGAACCAGUACCGUGAGGGAAAGGCGAAAAGAACCCCGGCGAGGGGAGUGAAAAAGAACCUGAAACCGUGUACGUACAAGCAGUGGGAGCACCUUCGGGUGUGACUGCGUACCUUUUGUAUAAUGGGUCAGCGACUUAUAUUCUGUAGCAAGGUUAACCGUAUAGGGGAGCCGCAGGGAAACCGAGUCUUAACUGGGCGUUAAGUUGCAGGGUAUAGACCCGAAACCCGGUGAUCUAGCCAUGGGCAGGUUGAAGGUUGGGUAACACUAACUGGAGGACCGAACCGACUAAUGUUGAAAAAUUAGCGGAUGACUUGUGGCUGGGGGUGAAAGGCCAAUCAAACCGGGAGAUAGCUGGUUCUCCCCGAAAGCUAUUUAGGUAGCGCCUCGUGAACUCAUCUUCGGGGGUAGAGCACUGUUUCGGCUAGGGGGUCAUCCCGACUUACCAACCCGAUGCAAACUACGAAUACCGAAGAAUGUUAUCACGGGAGACACACGGCGGGUGCUAACGUCCGUCGUGAAGAGGGAAACAACCCAGACCGCCAGCUAAGGUCCCAAAGUCAUGGUUAAGUGGGAAACGAUGUGGGAAGGCACAGACAGCCAGGAUGUUGGCUUAGAAGCAGCCAUCAUUUAAAGAAAGCGUAAUAGCUCACUGGUCGAGUCGGCCUGCGCGGAAGAUGUAACGGGGCUAAACCAUGCACCGAAGCUGCGGCAGCGACACUAUGUGUUGUUGGGUAGGGGAGCGUUCUGUAAGCCUGCGAAGGUGUGCUGUGAGGCAUGCUGGAGGUAUCAGAAGUGCGAAUGCUGACAUAAGUAACGAUAAAGCGGGUGAAAAGCCCGCUCGCCGGAAGACCAAGGGUUCCUGUCCAACGUUAAUCGGGGCAGGGUGAGUCGACCCCUAAGGCGAGGCCGAAAGGCGUAGUCGAUGGGAAACAGGUUAAUAUUCCUGUACUUGGUGUUACUGCGAAGGGGGGACGGAGAAGGCUAUGUUAGCCGGGCGACGGUUGUCCCGGUUUAAGCAUGUAGGCUGAUUGUCCAGGCAAAUCCGGAUAAUCAAGGCUGAGGUGUGAUGACGAGGCACUACGGUGCUGAAGUAACAAAUGCCCUGCUUCCAGGAAAAGCCUCUAAGCAUCAGGUAACAUCAAAUCGUACCCCAAACCGACACAGGUGGUCAGGUAGAGAAUACCAAGGCGCUUGAGAGAACUCGGGUGAAGGAACUAGGCAAAAUGGUGCCGUAACUUCGGGAGAAGGCACGCUGGUGUGUAGGUGAAGUCCCUGCGGAUGGAGCUGAGACCAGUCGAAGAUACCAGCUGGCUGCAACUGUUUAUUAAAAACACAGCACUGUGCAAACACGAAAGUGGACGUAUACGGUGUGACGCCUGCCCGGUGCCGGAAGGUUAAUUGAUGGGGUUAUCCGUAAGGAGAAGCUCUUGAUCGAAGCCCCGGUAAACGGCGGCCGUAACUAUAACGGUCCUAAGGUAGCGAAAUUCCUUGUCGGGUAAGUUCCGACCUGCACGAAUGGCGUAAUGAUGGCCAGGCUGUCUCCACCCGAGACUCAGUGAAAUUGAACUCGCUGUGAAGAUGCAGUGUACCCGCGGCAAGACGGAAAGACCCCGUGAACCUUUACUAUAGCUUGACACUGAACAUUGAGCCUUGAUGUGUAGGAUAGGUGGGAGGCUUUGAAGCGUGGACGCCAGUCUGCGUGGAGCCAACCUUGAAAUACCACCCUUUAAUGUUUGAUGUUCUAACGUUGGCCCCUUACCGGGGUUGCGGACAGUGUCUGGUGGGUAGUUUGACUGGGGCGGUCUCCUCCCAAAGCGUAACGGAGGAGCACGAAGGUUAGCUAAUCCUGGUCGGACAUCAGGAGGUUAGUGCAAUGGCAUAAGCUAGCUUGACUGCGAGCGUGACGGCGCGAGCAGGUGCGAAAGCAGGUCAUAGUGAUCCGGUGGUUCUGAAUGGAAGGGCCAUCGCUCAACGGAUAAAAGGUACUCCGGGGAUAACAGGCUGAUACCGCCCAAGAGUUCAUAUCGACGGCGGUGUUUGGCACCUCGAUGUCGGCUCAUCACAUCCUGGGGCUGAAGUAGGUCCCAAGGGUAUGGCUGUUCGCCAUUUAAAGUGGUACGCGAGCUGGGUUUAGAACGUCGUGAGACAGUUCGGUCCCUAUCUGCCGUGGGCGCUGGAGAAUUGAGGGGGGCUGCUCCUAGUACGAGAGGACCGGAGUGGACGCAUCACUGGUGUUCGGGUUGUCAUGCCAAUGGCACUGCCCGGUAGCUAAAUGCGGAAGAGAUAAGUGCUGAAAGCAUCUAAGCACGAAACUUGCCCCGAGAUGAGUUCUCCCUGAGACUUUAAGUCUCCUGAAGGAACGUUGAAGACGACGACGUUGAUAGGCCGGGUGUGUAAGCGCAGCGAUGCGUUGAGCUAACCGGUACUAAUGAACCGUGAGGCUUAACCUU